Molecule: long non-coding RNA, 1250 nt
Filed under: Nicotiana tabacum (common tobacco)
Lineage: Eukaryota; Viridiplantae; Streptophyta; Magnoliopsida; Solanales; Solanaceae
Description: long non-coding RNA (NTAB_LNC009902)
Source: RNAcentral
UUUUGGCGGAGAACAAAAAUGCAAAUGAAAGUCUUGCUUUCAAAUAAUCCUAGGCAAUAAAUCCUUGAUAACAGAAGUCAAAAGAAGUGUCUCACGUUCAUUCUCAAUGUUCAAAAGUAGAACGCUAAGCUCAUCCGGAAAGAAAAGGCUUCCAACGAAAUUUUGCAAACAAUUCCAACGAGAAUUGUUAGAACAGUAGCAACGUAAAAAUUUUACGGUUCUGAAGGAGUACGGUAAAAUCUUUUCCGAGAUAUUAUACGGAUUUUUUUCCUACUCCAGGUAUGUUAAGGCUAAGCUCUUCUUUCAUUUGGCAUGAUCUCAUAUUUACAUUCAUAUCCCGGAAUUUACGUAUAUUUUGCUAGUCUCACAAAUUGUGUAUAUUUUUCUAGUGUUGUAAGUUAUAAUAUUCUCCUUAUUGGGACUUCAUAUUCAGUUGAGUAUUUCCUUCUUACAGCCAAGAGAGCAGAGGAGUUUAUAUAUAUAUAGUAUUAAAAGUAUUUUCAUUACCAUCGAGCUAUAAUCGAUGGGCAGGCCCCUAUUGGGCAACCUCUGAUCAGAUGGUAAGUUAUAUACCGAGCCUACUGUGGCCGAGCGCUUAUGAGUAAGCCCAGUUGGCCGAGCCUACUGUGGCCGAGCGCUUAUGAGUAAGCCCAGUUGGUCGAGAUACAGAUCCUAGUAUGGCCGAACACGUAUGAGCGAGCCUACUAUGGCAGAGUAGAUAUAUAUGUAUACCGAGCCUUAUAGGGUCGGACAACUAUUUACUUCUAUAUUGAGAGAAUUGAGUCAAUAUCAGCAGGUAAGCAUAUCUUCAGAUUAUCUUUGGCUUCCAUCUACUUGCAGUUAUUAUAUUAUCAGUUCAGUUUCAGCUUUCAGUAUAUUGCCUUACAUACUCAGUACAUUAUUUCGUACUGACCUCCCUUUUCUGGGGGCGCUGCAUUUCAUGCGUGCAGGUCAAACAGACAGACGAGUAGGCCUCUUCAACAAGUAUUGCCCGAGCUCAGCUUGAUCGGUAAACUCCAUGCCUUUCGUAGUUUCCGGGUCUAGAGCCUUAUGUAUAUCUUGUAUAUAUACGUUGAUAAGUCAUGAGUAGGUCGGAUAGCCGUUCUGAUCAUAAUAUAUCCAUUAGUAAAGGCUUGUAGACAUAUCUUGUUAGCUAGUGUAGUAUGUUGGGCUUUCAGGCCUUGUGUGUAUAUUUGGUUGGUUUGUCAGUUGUAAUAAAUAUGAUGGCCUUGUUGGCCAAGCUUUAUAUU